GUUUUAAGUUUGAGCUGCAUAAUGGUUUAAUUUCUGGAAAUUCUAUUGUUUCUUCAGGUCUGUUUUCUCAUUUUUAUAGUCCCAGCUCCCUACAGAUAUAUUCGAUUCUUUAAAAACAUCCAUGUACAUCUGGGAAUUUUAAUAGUUGAGUCUUUAGAGUCUGCUUUUAUAAGUAUUUAGAGAAUAGUUCCCACUUGAAAGAAUGAAUCAAUGGCCUCCAUUCCUUUUUCAAGACAGGAAGAACAACACCACUGCCCAGACUACGACUGGACUGGGGAUUUUUCCAGAAGGUAUGGCUUUGGGUCCUAAAACCAGAAAGAAGGCAGGCAAACUGGGAGAUGAAUUGGUCACCCUGCUUCUGGCUUCCUAGGUUUUACUGUUUCCUUCUAAUGAUAGAAGCUCAGGUUAUGUUAUUUGUUCCCUCUGAAAA
This is a long non-coding RNA of Peromyscus eremicus (cactus mouse), 430 nucleotides long. RefSeq lists it as uncharacterized. The transcript is spliced from 3 exons. The record is from RefSeq and is a predicted model, not a curated record. Lineage: Eukaryota; Metazoa; Chordata; Mammalia; Rodentia; Cricetidae.